CCUACGGGUGGCAGCAGUGAGGAAUAUUGGUCAAUGGACGAGAGUCUGAACCAGCCAAGUAGCGUGAAGGAUGACUGCCCUAUGGGUUGUAAACUUCUUUUAUAUGGGAAUAAAAUGUUCCACGUGUGGGAUUUUGUAUGUACCAUAUGAAUAAGGAUAGGCUAACUCCGUGCCAGCAGCCGCGGUAAUAUGGAGGAUCCGAGCGUUAUCCGGAUUUAUUGGGUUUAAAGGGAGCGUAGGUGGAUUGUUAAGUCAGUUGUGAAAGUUUGCGGCUCAACCGUAGAAUUGCAGUGGAAACUGGCAGUCGUGAGUACAGUAGAGGUGGGCGGAAUUCGUUGUGUAGCGGUGAAAUGCUUAGAUAUCACGAAGAACUCCGAUUGCGAAGGCAGCUCACUGGACUGCAACUGACACUGAGGCUCGAAAGUGUGGGUAUCAAACAGGAUUAGAUACCCGAGUAGUC
This 460-nucleotide ribosomal RNA is filed under the name uncultured bacterium. RNAcentral's name for it is "partial 16S ribosomal RNA". It matches the Rfam family "Bacterial small subunit ribosomal RNA", at positions 338 to 795 of the family's 1533-position model. The record is from RNAcentral.